Salvelinus sp. IW2-2015 is the source of this 2311-nucleotide long non-coding RNA. RefSeq lists it as uncharacterized. The record is from RefSeq and is a predicted model, not a curated record. Lineage: Eukaryota; Metazoa; Chordata; Actinopteri; Salmoniformes; Salmonidae.
CUACGUGGAACAUCUUCGAUCCUAUGAACUGUCCUCAGGCAACUCAAUAUCAGAGUUCAACGAUACAUCCACCCUCUCAGCAUACAACACAGGAGGCGGAUUGCUACUGAGGCUCAAGAGAUUCAUACAACUAUACUGAAAAGAUGGCAGAACCUACAUACCAGACCUUACUUUGUCUCCAUAUAGCAACGCAUAUGGUGAGGAAGAUGACCCUCUCCUCCCGUCCACAGUCGGUGGAUGUCCUGAAGAUCAUCAUGUAAAACAAAUUUAAUUUGGACUAUGACUUCACCCUUCAAUACGAAGAUCCUGACUUCGAUGGACAAUUGUGCUGUCUAGUGGACAUUGAGGAGUUUCCUGAGGAAGCUGUCCUGAAGGUAAUCAGAUCAGAGAGUAAUGUCAACUCAACCGGAUCUGGAGACACAGAUAUACUGCCCCACGCCAGAGAAUCUCCAGAGUGCCUAGAGAAGUGGCCUGACGGUUUUCCGGGUGCCAUCUUUUUCUUAUGAUAUUGAGCACAUACUUAGAGAGGAAAAUACUUGCCAUGAGAAAACUGUAAAGACUCUUAAAUUAACAAGAGCCCAGAAGCAUGACGUUCUUGAGAACAUAGCUAAAGCAAUACACAGCUUCAAGGCCUAUCCAAGUGGGGGAGAAUUAGGCAAGGCUACCAACGCGCUUGUUACCAAGCACCCAUGUCUCAAAGAAGCAGGGAGUCAGUCUGGAUGGUAUGCAUGGAUGACUAGUCUGAAGUUCAAGAUGGGGAACUAUCGGACCAAGUUGAGCAGAGCUGGAGUUCCUGAGGUCUAUCUGAAUGCAGGCAAGAGGAGCAGAAACAACCUAGAGAGAGAGUCACCCCACUCAAACAUCAAGAGACCCAGAUGAGCUGAGGUAAACUUCCUGCCAUGCUUCCCGAAAGGGGAAGACCAAGAGUCUCUCAAGCAGCUGAGACAGCAAAUCAUCAACAAAGUUUCAAAGACUGAGAGAAACCUGCCAUUAAUAGACAAACUGAUGCAGACAACUUUUGCCCUUUGACGAAAUGAGAUCGUAAAUGACGGACCGCCAGUGAAAUGGUUCCCGAGAGAACUGGCCAGCCCUUCACCUGGAGUCUCAGGUGGAGGAAACUGAAAAGCCAGACAUUAGACACACCUGUCGCUCUCCUCACUGUUGUCAGCGAUAACUGAACUGAUCAUGUCCAGUUAAACCCAGCCAGGAUUGCUGUUGUGCUAGAAGGUGACAUUGCAAUGAAUGAUCUCCCCAGGUUGGCUGAUGCAAUUAUGUUGUUAUUUGGUUUGAUUUACGUCUUGCAUCUGAGUUAUCCCAAGCAGCUGAUCCAUACUUCUGACUUUAUACAAAAAGUCCUAAUGGGCUUGGAUGAUGGGAAAAUGCUUAAACCCAAGCUUUUGUCUCUGAAAAAUGACCUAUUGGACCAAGACUAAUGAUGUAUGGGUCUGUGUGGGUAUUUGCUUUUAGAGGUAUUUGUCAUCAUUGAGGUUGUAGAUGUUGUCUCCAACUCAUGCCCUUACACAGCUGCAAGGCCUUUCUCGUAGAUAUGUCUUUAAUGUGUGGGUCCACAUUGUCCCAUCAUUGCCUUGUUAAUCGCAGUAUAGCCUCAAACAGCCAGUGUUUCCAAUCAAGAACCAUACAUUCUUUCGAAGUUCUAAAUGUUUUCCUUUCAUUGUCAUUGAUGUUUGACAUAAACCACGUCCAGUGGGUGUUAUUUUUGACCUCACAAAUGUUUUAGCUGUUCUGCUCUUCAGUAGAACUCAAUAGAAACAGAGAUAUCUCUUUUUGUACUGCCGCAGUCAAUCAACCUGUAAACAAUGUGAAGUGCUUGAUGAGAUAAGCGAGAGUUGAGAUUUGAUUUCCACUCCAAAUAAAGUUGCAACAUACACUAUGUUCUGAAUGUAAUGGAGGUAAGCAAGAGAGUUAAUUUGCACUAAAAUAAAGCUGGAACAUAUUUUCUAAAAUGUAUGUAUUACAACGGUUAUAACAGUUAAUGGUUUUUGAUCAUGGCUGCAGCUUUAAUGUGUUGCUCCUCAUUUUCCCAUUUUUGUCAAAUCACUGCAGCCUCAUACGGACAAUGUUUACAAUAGAAAAUUCAGUAUUUGGAUAGUCCAUCUGUAGAUAGUUAAUUGAGCAUCCAAAGACCAUCAACAAAUGUUAAAUUGCUAUCAACUAACCCUAACAUAUCAGCAGAGAUACAGGGACUAUCCAAAUGGAGUUACAGAAAAUUCUAAGUUCUUUAGAAUUUCUAAAUGUUUUAACCAGGUUUCCAUCCAACCAUUUCAUGCUCGAGCGCACGUAAAGCCUACAU